UCUCUUCCCAUCACCGGGCAGAGCGCCUAUAUUGAGUGGGUCAGGCUUCGGUUUGACUAUGGGGAUAAACGCCCACGUAAUAAGCGAACUGGACCCGGGUGCGAUUCCCGGCGGCUCCACCAUUAUUCUCCCGGUUUCGCGGGAAGGUUAUGGGGCCGAUCAGCAUCGACAGGCGUGUAAAGGUGAAGCUUUCCCUCAGUGUGAGGCUCUGUGAUCGCCUCAUUUUUUAACUGCGAACGAUAACUUCGCUUCGGAUCAAGCCAUCGCUGCGUAAUGCGGCCUGGUUAAUCCAGCCUACAACUCCUGGGAAAUAAGCCUCUCAGGCGGGGCCCGCUGGCCGCCUUGCAACAGAAGGCCAGCACC
This 363-nucleotide transfer-messenger RNA is filed under the name Asticcacaulis benevestitus DSM 16100 = ATCC BAA-896. RNAcentral's name for it is "Alphaproteobacteria transfer-messenger RNA". It matches the Rfam family "Alphaproteobacteria transfer-messenger RNA". Rfam says of the family: Bacterial tmRNA, also known as 10Sa RNA or SsrA, is named for its dual tRNA and mRNA-like properties. Lineage: Bacteria; Pseudomonadati; Pseudomonadota; Alphaproteobacteria; Caulobacterales; Caulobacteraceae. The record is from Rfam by way of RNAcentral.